CCCGCUUUGGGCUUGCUGGGAUCUUUCUCUUUUUAUUUCUCUACACGGCAUUAACAACAGGAGAUGUACAUAGCCUCUUCCACUGCACGAGAUUCCAUGGCAGUGGAACUGAGUUUGCUUAAUACUCUGACAGGAGUCAUUUAGACACAGUAGAAUAGAUGUAACUUCCAAACCUGCUAGGUAUCCGAAAUGCUAGUUCGCGUUCUCUAAAAUCUUAGAAUGAAUUCUAGGGACAACGGAGGUUAACGUAGGGAGAAUUUAUUGAGGGAGAGAGAGCUCCUGUCUGAGAGGGACAGGAAGGGACACCCGGAAAGUGGGUUACCCACUCACCCUGCUUCUAAGAGGUGUCUCAUGGGACAAAGCCACAAGGUGAGGUGGGUUCAAGAAGGGACAAAACUAAGUCAUAUUACAAGUACAAUCACUUAGGUAAUAUUGGCCCAAUGAAAAAUCACAAGGUGGACAUGAGAGGGGACAAAAUUAUGAUCAACCAAUAGGAUUCCAACAAGUGCAGUCGCUUAGGACCUAUUGAUUAAACGGGGAUCCGAUGGGGAAGCAAGUCACAUAGAAAGCAUACAAGGAAUGAACAAGGAUUUCAGUACCAGGGAUCAAACUCAGGACCUUGUACUUUCCAGGCAGGCGGGGCACCACUGAGCUAAAUCCUCCACCCCUUUACCAGCUUUUCUGAGACACUUUAGGAAAAACAGCUGCAGGACCUCGCAUAGCCACAUGGAUCUGGGCGUUGUUUACCUCUUCUACCACGAUCAGACUCCAGUCACAAACUCAUUGAACAGUUCUAGACAAAGGGAAAGCAGAGGUACCUGACUGAUUGUUGCCAGUACUGGGUGUGAAAACGCCGGAAAGGAGGUGGAUUUUGCAGGUUUCUCCCAGUAAGGAACACCCUAUGAGACGAAUGGAUAUAUCCAACUUGAAUUAUAUAAAAAAAAGAUCUCCUAAUGG
Fukomys damarensis (Damara mole-rat) is the source of this 957-nucleotide long non-coding RNA. RefSeq lists it as uncharacterized. The record is from RefSeq and is a predicted model, not a curated record. NCBI's taxonomy places the organism in Eukaryota, Metazoa, Chordata, Mammalia, Rodentia, Bathyergidae. The transcript is spliced from 5 exons.